GACGAACGCUGGCGGCGUGCUUAACACAUGCAAGUCGAACGGGCCCGCUCUCUUUUUUGGGGGUGGGUUGAGUGGCGAACGGGUGAGUAUCACGUGAGUAACCUGCCCCCUGCUCCUGGAUAACUGCUUGAAAGGGCGGCUAAUACGGGGUGUGCCGGCUGGUCCGCAUGGGCCUGGUCGGGAUAGUUUCAUCUUCGGGUGUUUCGGUGGGGGAUGGGCUCGCGGCCUAUCAGCUUGUUGGUGGGGUGAUGGCCCACCGAGGCGGUGACGGGUAGCCGGCCUGAGAGGGUGGGCGGCCACACUGGGACUGAGACACGGCCCAGACUCCUGCGGGAGGCAGCAGUGGGGGGUAUUGCACAAUGGGCGGAAGCCUGAUGCAGCGACGUCGCGUGAGGGAUGGAGGCCUUCGGGUGGUGAACCUCUUUCUCCGGUGGUGAAGGCCCUGUCCGGUGCGGCGGGGUUGACGGUAGCCGGGUAUGAAGCGCCGGCUAACUACGUG
This 499-nucleotide ribosomal RNA is filed under the name uncultured bacterium. Its description in RNAcentral is "partial 16S ribosomal RNA". It matches the Rfam family "Bacterial small subunit ribosomal RNA", at positions 28 to 507 of the family's 1533-position model. The record is from RNAcentral.